GUCCACCCGUAAACGUUGGGAACUAGUUGUGGGUCCAUUCCACGGAUUCCGUGACGCAGCUAACGCAUUAAGUUCCCCGCCUGGGGAGUACGGCCGCAAGGCUAAACUCAAAGGAAUUGACGGGACCCGCACAAGCGGCGGAGCAUGCGGAUUAAUUCGAUGCAACGCGAAGAACCUUACCAAGGCUUGACAUAUACGAGAACGGGCUAGAAAUAGUCAACUCUUUGGACACUCGUAAACAGGUGGUGCAUGGUUGUCGU
Molecule: ribosomal RNA, 260 nt
Filed under: uncultured bacterium
Lineage: Bacteria
Description: partial 16S ribosomal RNA
Rfam family: Bacterial small subunit ribosomal RNA
Source: RNAcentral